Molecule: non-coding RNA, 69 nt
Organism: Aphelenchus avenae
Lineage: Eukaryota; Metazoa; Nematoda; Chromadorea; Rhabditida; Aphelenchidae
Source: the annotation of a GenBank genome assembly
UAGGAUAGCUCAGUGGUAGAGCAAUCGACUGCAGAUCGAUAGGUCCCCGGUUCAAACUAGUGUUCGGAA